GGAGGAGUUCCGGAGCGGUCGAACGGGACGGUCUCGAAAAUCGUUGUGGGGGUAACCCCACCCAGGGUUCGAAUCCCUGCUCCUCCGCCA
This 90-nucleotide transfer RNA is filed under the name Magnetococcales bacterium. RNAcentral describes it as "tRNA-Ser". It matches the Rfam family "tRNA". From Rfam's summary of the family: Transfer RNA (tRNA) molecules are approximately 80 nucleotides in length. Their secondary structure includes four short double-helical elements and three loops (D, anti-codon, and T loops). The record is from RNAcentral. Lineage: Bacteria; Pseudomonadati; Pseudomonadota; Magnetococcia; Magnetococcales.